UCAGAUCGCCUUCCUGCAGGGCGAGCGGCGAGGACAGGAGAACCUGAAGAAAGACCUGGUGAGACGGAUCAAGAUGCUGGAGUACGCCCUCAAACAGGAGAGGGCAAAGUACCAUAAGCUGAAAUACGGGACAGAACUGAACCAGGGAGAGAUCAAACCUCCGAGUUAUGACUCAGACGAGGGCAACGACAGCGAAGCUCCCAGUCCUCCCAACAGCAGCCAUCAGCUCAGCUGGAAACAAGGACGCCAGCUGCU
Molecule: non-coding RNA, 255 nt
Organism: Plectropomus leopardus (leopard coralgrouper)
Lineage: Eukaryota; Metazoa; Chordata; Actinopteri; Perciformes; Serranidae
Source: RefSeq, a predicted model, not a curated record